UACGUAGGGUGCAAGCGUUGUCCGGAAUUAUUGGGCGUAAAGAGCUUGUAGGCGGUUUGUCGCGUCUGCUGUGAAAUUUCGGGGCUCAACCCCGAACUUGCAGUGGGUACGGGCAGACUAGAGUGUGGUAGGGGAGACUGGAAUUCCUGGUGUAGCGGUGAAAUGCGCAGAUAUCAGGAGGAACACCGGUGGCGAAGGCGGGUCUCUGGGCCGAUAUUGACGCUGAGGCACGAAAGCUAGGGGAGCAAACAGG
Molecule: ribosomal RNA, 253 nt
Filed under: uncultured bacterium
Lineage: Bacteria
Description: partial 16S ribosomal RNA
Rfam family: Bacterial small subunit ribosomal RNA
Source: RNAcentral